CGUAGGGCGCGAGCGUUGUCCGGAAUUAUUGGGCGUAAAGGGCUUGUAGGCGGUUUGGCCGCGUCUGCCGUGAAAUCCUCUGGGCUUAACUGGGGGCGUGCGGUGGGUACGGGUUGACUUGAGUGCGGUAGGGGAGACUGGAAUUCCUGGUGUAGCGGUGGAAAUGCGCAGAGUAAUCAGGAGGAACACCGGUGGCGAAGGCGGGUCUCUGGGCCGUUACUGACGCUGAGGAGCGAAAGCGUGGGGAGCGAAACAGGAUU
Molecule: ribosomal RNA, 260 nt
Filed under: uncultured bacterium
Lineage: Bacteria
Description: partial 16S ribosomal RNA
Rfam family: Bacterial small subunit ribosomal RNA
Source: RNAcentral